GACGAACGCUGGCGGCGUGCUUAACACAUGCAAGUCGAACGGAAAGGCCUCUUUCGGGGGGUACUCGUGUGGCGAACGGGUGAGUAACACGUGAGUAACCUGCCCUUGACUUUGGGAUAACUUCAGGAAACUGGGGCUAAUACCGGAUAGGAGCUCCUGCUGCAUGGUGGGGGUUGGACAGUUUCGGCGGUUGGGGAUGGACUCGCGGCUUAUCAGCUUGUUGGUGGGGUAGUGGCUUACCAAGGCUUUGACGGGUAGCCGGCCUGAGAGGGUGACCGGCCACAUUGGGACUGAGAUACGGCCCAGACUCCUACGGGAGGCAGCAGUGGGGAAUAUUGCACAAUGGGUGGAAGCCUGAUGCAGCAACGCCGUGUGCGGGAUGACGGCCUUCGGGUUGGAAACCGCUUUCGCUCAUGACGAAGCUUUGUGUGACGGUAGUGGGUAAAGAAGCACCGGCUAACUACGUG
Molecule: ribosomal RNA, 467 nt
Filed under: uncultured bacterium
Lineage: Bacteria
Description: partial 16S ribosomal RNA
Rfam family: Bacterial small subunit ribosomal RNA
Source: RNAcentral